RNAcentral lists this ribosomal RNA (373 nucleotides) under uncultured bacterium. RNAcentral's name for it is "bacterial SSU rRNA". It matches the Rfam family "Bacterial small subunit ribosomal RNA", at positions 93 to 500 of the family's 1533-position model. The record is from RNAcentral.
UAGUGGCGGACGGGUGAGUAACGCGUGGGAAUCUGCCCUCAGGAGGGGGAUAACGGUUGGAAACGACCGCUAAUACCCCAUAUGCCGAGAGGUGAAACGAAAUUCGCCUGAGGAUGAGCCCGCGUCUGAUUAGCUAGUUGGUGGGGUAAAGGCCUACCAAGGCAUCGAUCAGUAGCUGGUCUGAGAGGAUGAUCAGCCACACUGGGACUGAGACACGGCCCAGACUCCUACGGGAGGCAGCAGUGGGGAAUUUUCCGCAAUGGGCGCAAGCCUGACGGAGCAACGCCGCGUGAGGGAUGAAGGCCUCUGGGCUGUAAACCUCUUUUCUCAAGGAAGAAGAACUGACGGUACUUGAGGAAUAAGCCACGGCUAA